GUCUAAGGUCGUAGGAGGUUAUACAGGCAAAUCCGUAUAACAAUACUCCGAGAACUGAAAGGCUUUUUGAAGUCUUCGGAUGGAUAGAAGAACCCCUGAUGCCGUCGAGCCAAGAAAAGUUUCUAAGUUUAGCUAAUGUUGCCCGUACCGUAAACCGACACAGGUGGGUGGGAUGAGUAUUCUAAGGCGCGUGGAAGAACUCUCUUUAAGGAACUCUGCAAAAUAGCACCGUAUCUUCGGUAUAAGGUGUGGUUAGCUUUGUAUUAGGAUUUACUCCGAAAGCAAGGAAACUUACAACAAAGAGUCCCUCCCGACUGUUUACCAAAAACACAGCACUCUGCUAACUCGUAAGAGGAUGUAUAGGGUGUGACGCCUGCCCGGUGCUCGAAGGUUAAUUGAUGGGGUUAGCAUUAGCGAAGCUCUUGAUCGAAGCCCGAGUAAACGGCGGCCGUAACUAUAACGGUCCUAAGGUAGCGAAAUUCCUUGUCGGUUAAAUACCGACCUGCAUGAAUGGCGUAACGAGAUGGGAGCUGUCUCAAAGAGGGAUCCAGUGAAAUUGUAGUGGAGGUGAAAAUUCCUCCUACCCGCGGCAAGACGGAAAGACCCCGUGGACCUUUACUACAGCUUGACACUGCUACUUGGAUAAGAAUGUGCAGGAUAGGUGGGAGGCUUUGAGUAUAUGACGCCAGUUGUAUAUGAGCCAUUGUUGAGAUACCACUCUUUCUUAUUUGGGUAGCUAACCAGCUUGAGUUAUCCUCAAGUGGGACAAUGUCUGGUGGGUAGUUUGACUGGGGCGGUCGCCUCCCAAAUAAUAACGGAGGCUUACAAAGGUUGGCUCAGAACGGUUGGAAAUCGUUCGUAGAGUAUAAAGGUAUAAGCCAGCUUAACUGCAAGACAUACAAGUCAAGCAGAGACGAAAGUCGGUCUUAGUGAUCCGGUGGUUCUGUGUGGAAGGGCCAUCGCUCAAAGGAUAAAAGGUACCCCGGGGAUAACAGGCUGAUCUCCCCCAAGAGCUCACAUCGACGGGGAGGUUUGGCACCUCGAUGUCGGCUCAUCGCAUCCUGGGGCUGGAGCAGGUCCCAAGGGUAUGGCUGUUCGCCAUUUAAAGCGGUACGCGAGCUGGGUUCAGAACGUCGUGAGACAGUUCGGUCCCUAUCUGCCGUGGGCGUAAGAAGAUUGAAGAGAUUUGACCCUAGUACGAGAGGACCGGGUUGAACAAACCACUGGUGUAGCUGUUGUUCUGCCAAGAGCAUCGCAGCGUAGCUAAGUUUGGAAAGGAUAAACGCUGAAAGCAUCUAAGCGUGAAGCCAACUCUAAGAUGAAUCUUCUCUAAGCUCUCUAGAAGACUACUAGUUUGAUAGGCUGGGUGUGUAAUGGAUGAAAGUCCUUUAGCUGACCAGUACUAAUAGAGCGUUUGGCUUAUCUUUAAUAAAGCAU
RNAcentral lists this ribosomal RNA (1437 nucleotides) under Campylobacter jejuni. Its description in RNAcentral is "partial 23S ribosomal RNA". It matches the Rfam family "Bacterial large subunit ribosomal RNA", at positions 1510 to 2925 of the family's 2925-position model. Lineage: Bacteria; Pseudomonadati; Campylobacterota; Epsilonproteobacteria; Campylobacterales; Campylobacteraceae. The record is from RNAcentral.